Molecule: transfer RNA, 75 nt
Filed under: Planctomycetota bacterium
Lineage: Bacteria; Pseudomonadati; Planctomycetota
Description: Planctomycetes bacterium (activated sludge metagenome) tRNA-Thr
Rfam family: tRNA
About the family: Transfer RNA (tRNA) molecules are approximately 80 nucleotides in length. Their secondary structure includes four short double-helical elements and three loops (D, anti-codon, and T loops).
Source: RNAcentral
GCCGAUGUAGCUCAGUGGUAGAGCAACGCUUUCGUAAAGCGUAGGUCGUCAGUUCGAAUCUGACCAUCGGCUCCA